This 460-nucleotide ribosomal RNA is filed under the name uncultured bacterium. Its description in RNAcentral is "bacterial SSU rRNA". It matches the Rfam family "Bacterial small subunit ribosomal RNA", at positions 28 to 507 of the family's 1533-position model. The record is from RNAcentral.
GAUGAACGCUGGCGGCGUGCCUAAUACAUGCAAGUCGAACGGAGUUUGUAGCAAUACAGACUUAGUGGCGAACGGGUGAGUAACGCGUUGGUGACCUGCCCCGAAGUGGGGGAUAACGGCUCGAAAGGGCUGCUAAUACCCCAUGCGGUCAUUGGGAUUAGAAUCCGAUGACCAAAGGAUUUAUUCGCUUCGGGAGGGGCCUGCGUCCCAUCAGCUAGUUGGUAGGGUAAUGGCUUACCAAGGCGAUGACGGGUAGGGGACCUGAGAGGGUGGCCCCCCACAAUGGAACUGAAACACGGUCCAUACACCUACGGGUGGCAGCAGUAGGGAAUAUUGGUUAAUGGGCGAAAGCCUGAACCAGCAACGCCGCGUGUGCGAUGAAGGCCUUCGGGUCGUAAAGCACUUUUGAAGGGGAAGAGGAAGGACGGUACCCUUCGAAUAAGCCUCGGCUAACUACGUG